UAGGUGACUUUUGAUCCGAAGAGACCCAUAAGCUACUUGAAACGAAUUGAAAAAUAUGAACCUGGAAACCAAGCCAACCAAAGUUCUAAUAAGCCAGAGUGGACUUUUGGAAGGCAUCAGCAUUCUGGUGCUCUUCAAUUUAAGGAUAGAUUUGGAACUAGCUGAAGAAAUAUAAUCAGCAUCUUCUCAAAGAAAGAGGUGGACUUAAUUGAAAGCUGAAAUUUGUGUUCCCUAAUAUAUUCCUUUGGAAUUAUCAGGCUUAGAAUAGACAAUCACAAGAGACCACAAAACAAAUACAUCCAUACAAUCUGUACACAAGAAUACUGGGAGUCCUGCAGAAAUAGUGAUUGUUUAUUUCAUAUUUCUAAACUUGAAAAAUGGGGCACUGAAUCCCAGAUUAAGCUGGGAUUCAUAAACUAUGAGAUAAAUUGACUGUGUCUACGUA
Long non-coding RNA from Neogale vison (American mink), 445 nucleotides. RefSeq lists it as uncharacterized. The record is from RefSeq and is a predicted model, not a curated record. The transcript is spliced from 2 exons. NCBI's taxonomy places the organism in Eukaryota, Metazoa, Chordata, Mammalia, Carnivora, Mustelidae.